RNAcentral lists this ribosomal RNA (1242 nucleotides) under metagenome. RNAcentral describes it as "bacterial LSU rRNA". It matches the Rfam family "Bacterial large subunit ribosomal RNA", at positions 1564 to 2815 of the family's 2925-position model. The record is from RNAcentral.
UGAAUACGAGAUGCUACGGCGUCGAAGCAGUCUAUGUCAUACUUCCAAGAGAAGCUUGCACUGUCAUAAACAAAUAAUGCCUGUACCAUAACCGACACAGGUGGGUAGGUAGAGUAUACUAAGGGGCGCGAGAUAACUCUCUCUAAGGAACUCGGCAAAAUGACUCCGUAACUUCGGGAGAAGGAGUGCCUUAUUUAUAAGGUUGCAAUAACAAGACCCAAGCAACUGUUUAUCAAAAACACAGGUCUCCGCUAAGUCGUAAGACGAUGUAUGGGGGCUGACGCCUGCCCAGUGCCAGAAGGUUAAAGAAGUUGGUUAGCAUUAGCGAAGCUGAUGACUGAAGCCCUGGUGAACGGCGGCCGUAACGAUAACGGUCCUAAGGUAGCGAAAUUCCUUGUCGGGUAAGUUCCGACCCGCACGAAAGGCGUAAUGAUUUGGGUACUGUCUCAGAGAGGGACUCGGUGAAAUAGACUUGUCUGUGAAGAUGCGGACUACCUGCACCUGGACAGAAAGACCCUAUGAAGCUUUACUGUAACCUGAAAUUGAAAUUGGACUUUAUUUGCGCAGUAUAGGUGGGAGGCUUUGAAGAUAUUCUUGCGGGAAUGUUGGAGCCAUCAGUGAGAUACCACUCUUGUAAUGUUAGAUUUCUAACUUUGUAUCAUUAUCUGGUCAAAGAACAGUUUCAGGCGGGCAGUUUGACUGGGGCGGUCGCCUCCUAAACGGUAACGGAGGCGCACAAAGGUUUCCUCUGAACGGGUAGAAAUCGUAUCUAGAGUGAAAAGGCAUAAGGAAGCUUGACUGUGAGACCUACAAGUCGAGCAGGGACGAAAGUCGGUCUUAGUGAUCUGACGGUGCUGAGUGGAAAGGCCGUCACUCAACGGAUAAAAGUUACUCUAAGGAUAACAGGCUGAUCUCCCCCAAGAGUUCACAUCGACGGGGAGGUUUGGCACCUCGAUGUCGGCUCAUCGCAUCCUGGGGCGGUAGUACGUCCCAAGGGUUGGGCUGUUCGCCCAUGAAAGCGGUACGCGAGCUGGGUUCAGAACGUCGUGAGACAGUUCGGUCCAUAUCCGGUGUAGGCGUUAGAAUAUUGAGAGGAGCCUUCUCUAGUACGAGAGGACCGAGAAGGACACACCUCUGGUGUACCAGUUAUCGUGCCAACGGUAAACGCUGGGUAGCUAUGUGUGGAGCGGAUAACCGCUGAAAGCAUCUAAGUGGGAAGCCCACCUCAAGAUAAGUAUUCCC